Molecule: ribosomal RNA, 253 nt
Filed under: uncultured bacterium
Lineage: Bacteria
Description: partial 16S ribosomal RNA
Rfam family: Bacterial small subunit ribosomal RNA
Source: RNAcentral
UACGUAGGGGGCAAGCGUUGUCCGGAUUCAUUGGGCGUAAAGAGCGUGUAGGCGGCCAGGUAGGUCGGUUGUGAAAACUGGAGGCUCAACCUUCAGAGGUCGACCGAAACCAUCUGGCUAGAGUCCGGGAGAGGAGAGUGGAAUUCCUGGUGUAGCGGUGAAAUGCGCAGAUAUCAGGAAGAACACCCGUGGCGAAAGCGGCUCUCUGGAACGGUACUGACGCUGAGACGCGAAAGCUAGGGGAGCAAACAGG